UACGAAGGGGGCUAGCGUUGUUCGGAAUUACUGGGCGUAAAGCGCGCGCAGGCGGCUAUCCAAGUCAGUGGUGAAAGCCCGGAGCUCAACUCCGGAACUGCCAUUGAACUGUUUAAGCUUGAGGACGAGAGAGGUGAGUGGAAUUCCCAGUGUAGAGGUGAAAUUCGUAGAUAUUGGGAAGAACACCGGUGGCGAAGGCGGCUCACUGGCUCGUAUCUGACGCUCAGGCGCGACAGCGUGGGGAUCAAACAGG
Molecule: ribosomal RNA, 253 nt
Filed under: uncultured bacterium
Lineage: Bacteria
Description: partial 16S ribosomal RNA
Rfam family: Bacterial small subunit ribosomal RNA
Source: RNAcentral